RNAcentral lists this long non-coding RNA (262 nucleotides) under Lathyrus oleraceus (garden pea). RNAcentral's name for it is "Pisum sativum (pea) long non-coding RNA (PSAT_LNC035592)". Lineage: Eukaryota; Viridiplantae; Streptophyta; Magnoliopsida; Fabales; Fabaceae. The record is from RNAcentral.
GAAAUCAUUAAGCAUUUAACUGAAAACUACUCUUCAUCUUUAUCCUCAUCCUCGACUUCAUGGUUACUGACAGCAACACAAUAUUCCUAGAUUGAAUCGUCAUUAGGAGAGGGCUCAUCUUCUUCCAUAUCCACAAGAUGAUCAUUAAUCACAGAAGUCUAUCUCAGACAAGUCAAGAUUGGGAUAGAGACAUAUGGCUUGAGUCUUUUCCCUAUCAAAGGCAGCAUCGCCUGCGUCGAGAACGUCAGUUUGUGCUUUUUGC